This 68-nucleotide transfer RNA is filed under the name Eunoe nodosa. RNAcentral describes it as "tRNA-Ile". Lineage: Eukaryota; Metazoa; Annelida; Polychaeta; Phyllodocida; Polynoidae. The record is from RNAcentral.
GGUGUUGCGCCGGGAUUGAACGGAUAACUCUGAUGACGUUAAUUACGAGGAAAAUACCUCCUUCACCU